RNAcentral lists this long non-coding RNA (266 nucleotides) under Elaeis guineensis (African oil palm). RNAcentral's name for it is "long non-coding RNA (EGUI_LNC046183)". The record is from RNAcentral. Lineage: Eukaryota; Viridiplantae; Streptophyta; Magnoliopsida; Arecales; Arecaceae.
ACUAGAGAAGAUGGGAAAGCUCAUUGUCUAUGUCGUUGAUGUAGGAAUUUAUUUUGGUAUACUCUAUCGGAUAUUCAAAAUCAUUUAUACAAACAUGGUAUAGAGGUGACUUAUAAGAGAUGGACUUAUCAUGGUGAAGAUUUACCGACUGGCUCGAGCAUGUUGCCUAAAAGUCCCACAAAUGUGUCGUCAGUAGGUGGAUCACCUAGUCAUGAAAGGCAAACACUCGGUGCAGAAGAUAGAGAAAUUCUGAAGGAUCUCUAUCC